GCAGUCGAACGGUAACAGGACGCUAGGAUCCCUUCGGGGUGACUUUGUCGCUGACGAGUGGCGGACGGGUGAGUAAUGCAUAGGAAUCUACCCAGUAGCGGGGGAUAACUCGAAGAAAUUCGAGCUAAUACCGCAUACGUCCUACGGGAGAAAGCGGGGGACCUUCGGGCCUCGCACUAUUGGAUGAGCCUAUGUCAGAUUAGCUAGUUGGUAGGGUAACGGCCUACCAAGGCGACGAUCUGUAGCUGGUCUGAGAGGAUGAUCAGCCACACUGGGACUGAGACACGGCCCAGACUCCUACGGGAGGCAGCAGUGGGGAAUAUUGGACAAUGGGCGCAAGCCUGAUCCAGCAAUGCCGCGUGUGUGAAGAAGGCCUGCGGGUUGUAAAGCACUUUUAUCAGGAAAGAAAAACCCGGAGUUAAUACCUCCGGCAUUGACGGUACCUGAAGA
Molecule: ribosomal RNA, 450 nt
Filed under: uncultured Gammaproteobacteria bacterium
Lineage: Bacteria; Pseudomonadati; Pseudomonadota; Gammaproteobacteria
Description: bacterial SSU rRNA
Rfam family: Bacterial small subunit ribosomal RNA
Source: RNAcentral